Orbicella faveolata is the source of this 737-nucleotide long non-coding RNA. NCBI's taxonomy places the organism in Eukaryota, Metazoa, Cnidaria, Anthozoa, Scleractinia, Merulinidae. The record is from RefSeq and is a predicted model, not a curated record.
UUGCUAAACGUUUGGCAUUUUUCUUGGGUAAUAGUUGUAGACAUCUUUUCAUCGACACUGCAGUUCGAACUGAUCUCAAAAAACGACGGACACGUCAUAUCCAGAGGAGCACCGAACAUUCAAUGCAAUAAAUGGCCUCAAAUUUGUAAUUUAGCAGCAGGAGAAACCUAUACCUUGACAUAUAGCAACGACCGUAUUAGAGCUAGUCCUCCUGGCUUAAAGGGAACCGUCUAUUUCAGAGGUGAACUCUACAAUCAAGAUCAAGUUAUGUGGACCUGUCUGGAGGGAGAAGUAGUUUUGUAAACAAACAACCUUAUUUACAAUUCAUUGUAAAUACAAUGAAUUAAAAAGCACUAUUCUUGUUUCAAAAACUCGUUAAGCAUCUUUGUUUUAAGAUUUUUCUUAAAGUUUACUGAACAAUUAAGAAGCGUAGUAAUGAAUUCUCUCAAUUAAGAAGCGUAGUAUUGUUUCGUUGCAGCAUUUUCAUGUUUUCAAAAUUAUACGUUACCCGUAGUAGAGAUCCACAGUUUUCUGAAGUUUUCGUCUCAGCUGCCUUAGAAAAAACGGUAGGGCUGACAAAUCGCGAGGCGGAGGAGAGGGGGACAUGUUACUGUUGCAGUGGCUAUGUAACACAUGUUUUUGCUUAUAUGCUUGCUUAUUCUAUACGUAGAAGGUCCAGAUUUUUAACAAUUCAGAAUAAAAUGUGUUUAGACCUGUUACGUUACAGGCAAUCAUAA